This 1537-nucleotide ribosomal RNA is filed under the name metagenome. RNAcentral's name for it is "bacterial SSU rRNA". It matches the Rfam family "Bacterial small subunit ribosomal RNA". The record is from RNAcentral.
AGAGUUUGAUUCUGGCUCAGAACGAACGCUGGCAGCGUGGAUUAGGCAUGCAAGUCGAACGAGAACCAGUGGUUUCAAGUUUUCGGACGAGAAACCGUUGGGGACAGUGGCGGAAGGGUGAGUAACGCGUGGGCAGUCUGCCCUUAAGUUCGGGACAACGGUUGGAAACGGCCGCUAAUACCGGAUGUGGUUAUCCGUCGCCUGACGCGUGGACUAAAGAUGGGGACCUUUCGGGGCCUGUCGCUUGAGGAGGAGCCCGCGUCCCAUCAGCUUGUUGGUAGGGUAACGGCCUACCAAGGCUUACGGGUAGCUGGUCUGAGAGGAUGAUCAGCCACACUGGGACUGAGACACUGCCCAGACUCCUACGGGAGGCUGCAGUCGAGGAUCAUUGGCAAUGCGCGAAAGCGUGACCAUGCGACGCUGCGUGGAGGAUGACGGCCUUCGGGUUGUAAACUCCUGUCAUUCGGGAAAAACGAGCGGGCCGUUAAUAUCGGUUCGCAGUGAUGGUACCGAAAGAGGAAGCCACGGCUAACUCUGUGCCAGCAGCCGCGGUAAUACAGAGGUGGCAAGCGUUGUUCGGAUUUACUGGGCGUAAAGCGUGCGUAGGCGGUUACGUAUGUCGGAUGUGAAAGCCCAUGGCCCAACCAUGGAAGUGCAUUCGAAACUGCGGAACUAGAGUGCAGGAGGGGAGAGCGGAAUUCAUGGUGUAGCGGCGAAAUGCGUUGAUAUCAUGAAGAACACCGGUGGCGAAGGCGGCUCUCUGGAAUGUUACUGACGCUGAGGCACGAAAGCUGGGGGAGCAAACAGGAUUAGAUACCCUGGUAGUCCCAGCCGUAAACGGUGCGCACUUGGUGUUGGGGGUGUUGACCCCCUCAGUGCCGGAGCUAACGCGUUAAGUGCGCCGCCUGGGGAGUACGGCCGCAAGGCUAAAACUCAAAGAAAUUGACGGGGGCCCGCGCAAGCGGAGGAGCAUGUGGCUUAAUUCGAUGCAACGCGAAGAACCUUACCAGGGCUUGACAUGGCGACCCUUCGGGGGUGGUAGCGAAAGUUACCUUUACGAUCACAGGUGCUGCAUGGCUGUCGUCAGUUCGUGCCGUGAGGUGUUGGGUUAAGUCCCGCAACGAACGCAACCCUUGUGGUUAGUUGCCACCGUCGGUGAUGAGCCGGCGAGCACUCUAGCCAGACUGCCCGUGCAAGCGGGAGGAAGGUGGGGAUGACGUCAAGUCAGUAUGGCCCUUACGCCCUGGGCUGCACACGUGCUACAAUGGUCGGUACAGAAGGAUGCAAUACCGCGAGGUGGAGCAAAUCCUCAAAGCCGACCCCAGUUCGGAUUGGAGUCUGCAACUCGACUCCAUGAAGUUGGAUCCGCUAGUAAUGGCGCAUCAGCUACGGCGCCGUGAAUGCGUUCCCGGGCCUUGUACACACCGCCCGUCACAUCAUGAAAGCCGUCUGCACCCGAAGUCACUGAGCUAACCUUUUAUUAGGAGGCAGGUGCCGAAGGUGUGGGUGGUGAUUGGGAUGAAGUCGAAACAAGGUA